UACAGAGGGGGCUAGCGUUAUUCGGAAUUAUUGGGCGUAAAGGGCGCGUAGGCGGCCAUGCGUGUCUUCCGUGAAAUCCCUCGGCUUAACUGAGGACGUGCGGAAGAAACUGCAAGGCUCGAGUCCGGGAGAGGGGGGUGGAAUUCCCAGUGUAGCGGUGAAAUGCGUAGAUAUCGGGAGGAACACCAGUGGCGAAGGCGACUACCUGGCCCAUUCUUGACGCUGAGGCGCGAAAGCUAGGGGAGCGAACGGG
This 253-nucleotide ribosomal RNA is filed under the name uncultured bacterium. RNAcentral describes it as "partial 16S ribosomal RNA". It matches the Rfam family "Bacterial small subunit ribosomal RNA", at positions 524 to 776 of the family's 1533-position model. The record is from RNAcentral.